CAGUAGCCGCGGUAAUACGUAGGGUGCAAGCGUUAAUCGGAAUUACUGGGCGUAAAGCGUGCGCAGGCGGUGUUGUAAGACUGAUGUGAAAUCCCCGGGCUCAACCUGGGAACUGCAUUGGUGACUGCAACGCUGGAGUGCGGCAGAGGGGGAUGGAAUUCCGCGUGUAGCAGUGAAAUGCGUAGAUAUGCGGAGGAACACCGAUGGCGAAGGCAAUCCCCUGGGCCUGCACUGACGCUCAUGCACGAAAGCGUGGGGAGCAAACAGGAUUAGAUACCCCGGUAGUCCCUGUCUCUUAUAA
This 301-nucleotide ribosomal RNA is filed under the name uncultured bacterium. Its description in RNAcentral is "partial 16S ribosomal RNA". It matches the Rfam family "Bacterial small subunit ribosomal RNA", at positions 509 to 809 of the family's 1533-position model. The record is from RNAcentral.